Molecule: ribosomal RNA, 732 nt
Filed under: uncultured bacterium
Lineage: Bacteria
Description: bacterial SSU rRNA
Rfam family: Bacterial small subunit ribosomal RNA
Source: RNAcentral
AACAGGAUUAGAUACCCUGGUAGUCCACGCCCUAAACGAUGCGAACUGGACGUUGGGAGCAACUUGGCUCUCAGUGUCGAAGCUAACGCGUUAAGCUCGCCGCCUGGGGAGUACGGUCGCAAGACUGAAACUCAAAGGAAUUGACGGGGGCCCGCACAAGCGGUGGAGUAUGUGGUUUAAUUCGAUGCAACGCGAAGAACCUUACCUGGCCUUGACAUCCACGGAACUUUCCAGAGAUGGAUUGGUGCCUUCGGGAACCGUGAGACAGGUGCUGCAUGGCUGUCGUCAGCUCGUGUCGUGAGAUGUUGGGUUAAGUCCCGCAACGAGCGCAACCCUUGUCCUUAGUUGUCAGCACGUAAUGGUGGGAACUCUAAGGAGACUGCCGGUGACAAACCGGAGGAAGGUGGGGAUGACGUCAAGUCCUCAUGGCCCUUACGGCCAGGGCUACACACGUACUACAAUGGUCGGUACAGAGGGUCGCAAAGCCGCGAGGUGGAGCCAAUCCCAGAAAACCGAUCCCAGUCCGGAUCGGAGUCUGCAACUCGACUCCGUGAAGUCGGAAUCGCUAGUAAUCGCGGAUCAGAAUGCCGCGGUGAAUACGUUCCCGGGCCUUGUACACAUCGCCCGUCACACCAUGGGAGUUGGUUGCUCCAGAAGUAGGUAGUCUAACCGCAAGGGGGACGCUUACCACGGAGUGGUCAAUGACUGGGGUGAAGUCGUAACAAGGUAACC